GCGGUCGUCGUCCAGCCUGGUCUAGGACAUCAGCUUCCCAAGCUGGUAACUCGGGUUCAAAUCCCGGCGACCGCA
Molecule: transfer RNA, 75 nt
Filed under: Candidatus Nitrosopumilus sp.
Lineage: Archaea; Thermoproteati; Nitrososphaerota; Nitrososphaeria; Nitrosopumilales; Nitrosopumilaceae
Also listed under: 2 other names
Description: Nitrosopumilus sp. tRNA-Gly
Rfam family: tRNA
About the family: Transfer RNA (tRNA) molecules are approximately 80 nucleotides in length.
Source: RNAcentral